RNA transcript from Talpa occidentalis (Iberian mole), 3544 nucleotides. It is a transcript of the gene named calcium responsive transcription factor, with no coding region annotated. The record is from RefSeq and is a predicted model, not a curated record. The transcript is spliced from 18 exons. Lineage: Eukaryota; Metazoa; Chordata; Mammalia; Eulipotyphla; Talpidae.
CUUCGCGGCGCGCGCUCAGAAAGCUGCGCCUGCGCAUUGUGCUGGUCUCCAUGGCGGGGCCUCGGAGCCAAGACGAGAAAAGAUGCUGCUAUGAAGAUAAAGCUUUCACACAAAUGAUGCUGCAACUAUCUUGAUCUAGUGCCCCUAAAAAAAGGAAGAACCUCAGUGGACAAGAUAGGGCACCAGUGGUAGGAGAAUGCUUGAGACCUGGAAUUUAAACUUGAGCUACGGCCUGAAGGAAGAAUAUGGAACUGAAUAUGACUUCAGCAUGGAACAGUCUGAUUUAUUAAGAGUCAACCAUAAUGAUUCCAAAGAGUCAAAAACAGAUUCUCAGCAUCUGACUUGUAUGGAUUCCAGGGAUCCAUCCUUUGGACAAAAUGGUUCUUCUAGAAUUUUACCAAGCACUACUCAUGAAACAGAAAAUUCACUCACAUCACAGGAUAUCCCUGGGACCCUGACUCAGACACAGGCUCUUUCUGCAGAACAAUUCCAUCUGGUAGACCAAAAUGGGCAACCUGUUCAGUAUGAACUUCAGUCAUUGGGGGAUUCUAAUGCACAAAUGAUGAUUGUUGCCAGCCCUUCAGAAAAUGGACAGGUUCUUCAUGUAAUUCCAUCCACCCAGACAGGAAUGGCACAAGUGAUUAUUCCUCAGGGGCAACUUGUGGAUGUGAAUGGUCUUCAGGAUGUUUCUGAAGAGAAACCCAACGACAGAAACUUACCAACUGUAAGAGUGGAUGCUUUAGCAGACAAUACCAGCAAUUAUAUUCUUCAUCCACAAGCAUCCGUCACAUUGCCCAAAAAGACAGUAACCAGAAUGCUUGAAGAACCUUUUCUGGCUCCUCUACAACCACUUUCUUCUAACACACCUAUCUGGGCCUGCCGUCUAAGGAGCUGUGAGAAAAUUGGAGAUUCAUACCGGGGCUACUGCGUAAGUGAGACUGAAUUAGAAAGUAUUCUAACAUUUCACAAGCAGCAGACACAGAGUGUUUGGGGGACUCGCCAAUCUCCAAGUCCAGCCAAGCCAGCUACACGCUUGAUGUGGAAGUCCCAGUAUGUCCCAUAUGAUGGAAUUCCAUUUGUCAAUGCAGGGAGUAGAGCUGUGGUAAUGGAGUGUCAGUAUGGGCCAAGAAGAAAAGGUUUCCAGUUAAAAAAAAUCAGUGAACAGGAAAGCAGGUCUUGUCAACUCUACAAAGCCACUUGUCCAGCUCGGAUUUACAUUAAAAAGGUACAGAAAUUUCCUGAAUAUAGAGUUCCUACGGACCCCAAAAUUGACAAGAAGAUAAUUCGAAUGGAGCAAGAGAAAGCCUUUAACAUGCUAAAGAAGAACUUGGUGGAUGCUGGUGGUGUUCUUAGAUGGUAUGUACAGUUACCUACACAGCAAGCUCAUCAGUAUCAUGAAUUAGAGACUCCUUGCCGUCCUUUGUCACCUUCCCCCUUCCCUGUGUCCUCUCUUGAAGAAGAGGAAACUGCAAUUAGAGAUGAGAACUGUGCAUUACCCUCACGUCUACAUCCUCAAGUCGCACAUAAAAUUCAAGAAUUAGUUUCACAGGGAAUAGAACAAGUAUAUGCAGUAAGGAAACAGCUAAGAAAAUUUGUGGAAAGGGAACUGUUCAAACCUGAUGAGGUGCCUGAAAGACAUAAUUUAUCCUUUUUUCCAACUGUAAAUGAUAUAAAAAAUCACAUCCAUGAAGUACAGAAAUCCUUGAAAAAUGGAGAUAAUGUGUAUAACACAGAGAUUAUUCCAGCAACGCUUCAGUGGACUACAGAUAAUGGGAAUAUUCUGAGAGAGACUGUGACAGUUACAUUUGCAGAAGGAAAUUCACCAGGAGAAUCAAUUACCACCAAAGGAGAAACACAUCAGACAAGAGGUUCUUUGUCUCCAGAGCCAGCCCACUUGCUGUCCUCACUUUCCUCAUUUCAGCCAAAAAUAUUUACACAACUACAGGGUUUGCAGUUGCAACCAAGAUUCACUUCUGAUGGAUCACCAACUCUGGUAUCAGUAAAUAACCACUCUUCCUCCAGUCCUUCAAGACUUCUGGAUUCAAUAGGAAGUGAUGUAAUGAAUAGUAAUUCUCUACUGCUUGGUCAGAGUCAUAGCCUUCAAACAGAUACAUGUCUAACCCAAAACAAUAGUGUUGCCUCUACAAUCGAGAACCUUCCAGGAUCAGAUCAAAAUCUGGUUGCAGUGGAUCAGUUGGUGGAAGAUGGAGAUAUUGAGCCUACAGAGAAUCUGGAAAGAAGUGUUCAACAGAUUCUGCUGGGAGAUGUGCAGACCAUUCCAAUACAGAUUAUAGACCAUCAUCCAGCUCUUAUUGAAGAAAACUCAGAAGGUACAAUUUCUAUGAGCCAAGUUAAGCAAGAACCCAAAGAACCAACAUUGUCUAUGGAAGCAAAAAAUAAUUUGGACUGUAAAAAAUUAUCUGCUACAUAAAUUAUUGAACUCUUCAUAGUUUGCAAGUCUGGUGACUUCUGAUGUCAUAAAAAAGAAGAUAAUUGGAGAACUUUUUGAUAUCAGCAGAGGACUUUUUUCCCCCAUUUUGUAUUGAAGAUUCAACUCUGGUUAGAAAAGAAUUUGAGUUGUGUUUAUUUUUCUGUGCUGGAGUUCUUACUGAAUUGAUGGUAUUAGAAUUUAUAGUAUUUCAAGGUAAAAAAAUGGAACUAUCAGUAUUUUCAUGUAAGUAUUUCAAUGAGUAACUCCUUAAAAAUGGUUUCUAAAUUAGUUUUUAAAAAUUAAUUUGUCCUUUAAAUGCAUGUUCAGUCACAGUAUAUCAGUAUUGUAUUUUAAAGGUGCUUAGCAUCCCUUUUUAUAAAAUGUUUACAUGUUUAAAAUAUUCAAUUAUUUUUUAAAUGCACAAGGUAUUAAAUCAAGUGCACAAAGUCUUUAGUAUCUAUAUUUGGCAUUCUCCUAACAGCUCUACAGCAAAGUUUGACUUAAUGCUCUUUUUUGUGUCAUGUAUUACAAAGUACAUCUGUAUUAGUAUGUUGAUAUUCAAAAUAAGCAGUCAAAAAGUCAUAAUUGCAGCUAAUUUGUUUCCUCACUGUUGUUUUCAUGUUCCAAGCCUCCAAGUGAACUUUGUAUAUAUUACAGUGAAUUAUAAAUAAACAUAGUCAUGGUGGGUCUUUCCCUCAAUAAUAGUUUUCUGUGUAAGUAGGUAACAUACUUAAAAGAUAAAGCUUUUAUAUCUUGUGCAAAGUCAAUGUUUUCUAAAACUGCCAAAAGUCAUAGAAAACAUAGAUUUAGAGAUCUGACCCUGCAUUAGAGUUUCUAAUUUUGAGGCCCGCUAGCUUGUUUUCCUUCUUUAUAUACUGUCAAAAUACAUAAUCAUGUGAAGAAUAUGAGAAAAAUGUUGCUUAAUUUAUACCAGGUUUAAAAUGUUUUAAAAUGUGUGUGUGUGUGUGUAUGUAUACUCACACAUACACAUAUAUAGUAACUUAAUGUAUAGUGUCUUUGUUACAAUUAAUUUUUCAUUAAAAAAUCCUGUUAUUUUUUUUCUUAAACUUGUUUUUAUAAUUUUUUCUGGAAGUAGUGGUAAUUUUGUUCAUC